Molecule: non-coding RNA, 29 nt
Filed under: Homo sapiens (human)
Lineage: Eukaryota; Metazoa; Chordata; Mammalia; Primates; Hominidae
Source: RNAcentral
UGAGUCUCCUUUCACUUGUCCUGUGCCCU